UACGUAGGGGGCAAGCGUUGUCCGGAAUUAUUGGGCGUAAAGCGCUCGCAAGUGGUUCUCUAAGUCUGAUGUGAAAGCCCCCGGCUCAACCGUGGAGGGCCAUUGGAAACUGGGGUACUUGAGGACAGAAGAGGAGAGUGGAAUUCCACGUGUAGCGGUGAAAUGCGUAGAUAUGUGGAGGAACACCAGUGGCGAAGGCGACUCUCUGGUCUUUCUCUGACGCUGAGGUGCGAAAGCGUGGGUAGCAAACAGG
RNAcentral lists this unclassified non-coding RNA (253 nucleotides) under uncultured Bacillaceae bacterium. RNAcentral's name for it is "contains 16S-23S intergenic spacer region". It matches the Rfam family "Bacterial small subunit ribosomal RNA", at positions 524 to 776 of the family's 1533-position model. The record is from RNAcentral. Lineage: Bacteria; Bacillati; Bacillota; Bacilli; Caryophanales; Bacillaceae.